Molecule: unclassified non-coding RNA, 3255 nt
Filed under: Haliotis rufescens (red abalone)
Lineage: Eukaryota; Metazoa; Mollusca; Gastropoda; Lepetellida; Haliotidae
Description: uncharacterized LOC124151650, transcript variant X4
Source: RNAcentral
AUCACAGGAGCGCUCAGUCAGAGCGGACGUGUGUGUGUGACUGGACCCUCGAGUCAAGAGCUUAGCGCGCGCAGAGGAAACAGGACCGGGGUAUGUGAAGCGGGUAGGGUCACUGGAGCAUGACUGAUUUCAUAGUCCCCCAAUCACAAACAAUCUUCGUAUGGAAAUGUCGGUAUGACGUGCUUCGCUAAUAAUACAUGGUAGGAAUCACGAGGAGGUUUUGUGUAUAGGCUGCGUGUAUAUAAAAUCUGCUGAGAACGAGGACAGUCAGUUCAAACUUGGAAUCAGAGAGAAAAAGACUGUUUGUUUAAGAAACGCCAACAAAGACUUUGACCAUGCGGACAUUUAUACGUUACUUUGUCCUCUCGGUGUGUGUGUAUUUAGUUUCGAGCAACAAAGCCUAUGUGCAGGUGUCCGACACAACACUGACCGAAAUCAGCGAGUGCAAGUUACCUAGGACCAUAUAUAUCACAGUAACAACAGAUGGCCAUUCCUUACCUCUAACACUCACCAAGAAUGCCGAUAUUGAUAUAAAUGUUCCGCUAUACACGACAAGUCUGUUUCGAGAUGAUGAGGUGAAGAAGGAAAUCCUUCUCGACAUAUCGGAUAGCGCAGAAUACCAAGAUGAGGUGCAAAAAGCGGCCAUGACAGUUGACUGUCAGAUGCUGGAAAACCAAGGAGUAGAUGUAUCAGUGCAUGGUUCAAUCACAGUGGACCGGAAACUAUAUAUUAUAGAGAGACCAAAGAGGCAGCGCCGAGAUACAAAUUCAACAAGUGAUCCAGAAGAAUACGAAAUUACUGAAGAUGUUGCACCAGUCACAGCAAAUGAUUACAGAGAGGCACCUCCAACGGCCGAGGAUCCCCUACGUACCAUCAAAGAAACUCAUCAAGUGCUUCCUCUCAAGGAUGCCACCAUUACUAGACAUAAACGCCAUUCUUCACAAUAUGUACCGCUGAAAGAUGCCCCCCUCGACAGGCAAAAACGUCAAGUUUCACAGUAUUAUAUUGAUGUCCUUGCUCUUGUAGACUACGGCGUUUAUGAAAGAUGGUAUGGCGUCAGCACAAAGCCAACCGCUGCUCAGAAAAAAAUAGAAACCUUGCAAAACAUAAGACGUUACUAUGCCUACGUCAUGAACGGGGUCAGUCUGAGGUUCAAGUCAAUAACUGGCCUUAACUCACGGAUUAAUGUUCGGCUUGUGGGCUACUAUGUGGCCGAGACCGCAGCUUCAUCGCCAUGGACAGAAUCAUUCCGGAUAUCCGGUAGUUCUGGUUCCGAAGUUGAUGCGGACAAAGUACUUGUAUAUCUCCGAGAUUGGGUCGCCAGGACGUCACUUCCGGCAAACGAUCACGUCAUGAUGUUCUCUGGGUAUGAUCUUUACACUAUCAACUCCAUCACCAACGCCAAAUCCACUGCCACUUCAGGGCUCGCUUACAUCUCGACUAUGUGCAGAAGCGACGGGAGGAGUAUUUCAUUGGUGGAAGACGUCGGAGGGUUCCAGUGUGUUGAUACUGCCGCCCAUGAACUUGGACACGGCCUUGGAGCUAAGCAUGAUGGUGAUGGUAACAACUGCAAAGCAAAUGACCGUUUCAUCAUGUCUGGGGGAUCAUACAAGACUAACACAGAAAAUGAACGGAAUCCAUGGUUCUUCUCCACAUGCUCAGUCGAUUACUUCCGGACUCUGAUUUCAUCCCUUUCCAGGACAUCAAAUGGAAUCCAGUGUCUCACCAGUGCCUUGCCUGUAGAAAGUGUUCCGGAUAUAGGCUCGGUGAACCCAGGACAACUGUACAACCCUGAUCAGCAAUGUCAGAUGACCCAUGGAGCCCGUUCAAGACUCUGCAUGGGUCCAGAGUUCGGUAAUUACAGUCUGGUGUGCACCAGCAUGUUCUGUUUGGAUCCAACCAGCGUGGGCACCUGCUUUCAGCACGAGGCUGCCCGGGGGACAACCUGUGGCGAUAGGAAGUGGUGCAUAGAUGGAUUGUGCCAGUAUUCCCCUGAAGCUCCAUCUGCGGACGACGAUUGUGUAUUUGGAGACCAGAGCGGGGUAUCGUUUGAGGGCCAGACUUGCGAGGACUUCACAGCCGGUGAUAACUCUCCGUACUGUUACCAGGAGGUGGUCAGAGGCCGCUGUUGUGCCUCCUGCAAGAGACAUUUCACAGGUGUACAAAGCUGUCUUUACGGCGACAAGGUCCGCGGCUGCGAAGACCAGUUCUGCGCCUACAUAUACGACGACGGUACCCGGUACGCGGACAACUGCUGUAAGACUUGCGGACGUGGUGUUACAGUCCCCAUUACGACAACUACAACAACGCGAGCACCAGUAACAACAAAAACAAUAACAACAACAACAACAACAACAACAACAAGAGCACCUGUUCCCACUACGGCAUCCACUUCACAAGGAGGUGAUUGCACCAGUAACCUUGGUGACAGGAAUGGCGUAACUUUCAACGGAAUGUCGUGUGUCGGAUACGUCAUCUCAGACCCAGGCGUCUGUUACAGCGAGUCCACCCAAAACUACUGCUGCUUCUCUUGUAAACAGAGACAAACGGGCAUACAAGGCUGCAUGUACGGGGAUUGGUUCAGUGGAUGUGUAGAUAACGCUUGCGACUACGUCUACGCGGACGGAACUCCCUACCGUUUCUACUGCUGCGACACCUGCAGCGGUAGACCGGCAACAACAACAACAACAACAACAACAACAACAACAACAACAACCCCAACUACCACUACAACAACUACCACCACUACCACAACUCCUACUACAACUACACCCACAACUACGACAACCACUCCCACAACAACGACUACAACAACGACCGCCAGACCCACCACCACUACACCUGUGCAAGAGAGGUGUUCAGAGAGGAUAUACGGUGUAAGCUGCCAGGCUUAUAUCGGCCUGUACGGCAAGGGGCGUUGCUACAACAGCGACGUUUCUAAAGCAUGCUGCAGUUCGUGUGCAGCUGUUUCCAACCCCUCCAAACCAGGGCGAGGUUUCUUUUUCCGACGUAGGCCAUUAAGUGGUCGUAUUAAGCCUUCAUCACGCCCAUCGUCUUGGAUGCGUUAUCUUUCAUCUUUAGGAUUUCUUUCCUAGGGAAGAUAACAAAUAACAAUGAAACGAAAUUGGAAAAUGACAAAAAGGCAAGACUGCCCCUACGGAGACCGAUAUAAUAGCUGCUAUGCAGUACUCUGUGACCACGUCUUUGACGACGGAACGCCGUACACAUACUUCUGCUGUGACACGUGUUCAAACG